CAUACAAAUAUAUAGGGAACAUCUUUAAAAAUCUUCUUCUCAAGAACCACUGAGCCAGAAAAGCUGAGAUUUAUAUGAAAGCUUCCUUAUAUAAUGCAGAUUCUAAAUUGUUAAAACCAUGGCCCCCUGGGGUACGAUGGGGCCACAAUAGGGGAUCAAAGUUUUACAUACAAAUAUAUAGGAAAAAUCUUUAAAAAUCUUCUUCUCAAGAAACAUUGGGCCAAAGAAGUUCACAUUUACAUGAAAGCUUUCUGACAUAGUGUAGAUUCAAGUUUGCAAAAACCAUGGCCUCCAGGAGUAGGUUUGGGGCCAUAAUAGGGACUACGGUUUUACAUGCAAAUAGAUCUGGAAAAUCUUCUGAUAUGGACCAAGGUGACUCAGGUGAGCGAUGUGGCCCAUGAGCCUCUUGUUAUCAGUAUAUGUAUUGUUUGUAGGGGUAUGUAAUCAUCUCACCAGAUGAACCGUUGCGCCGGCUAGAUUUACCUGUCAUGCUUUUACAUUAAAUUGCUCACCUGUGUACAGAUAACAGGUAAAUUACCCGUGUUUAACGUCCAGGAGAAGCUUGCGUAAUGUGCUCUCUGAAUGAGUUGAGUGGAAUAAUGAACCUCCAGAAACCUAUGUACAUGUGUAUAUUAUAAUUAAACUUCUGUUGCACUCGCGCAAGCGAGAUUACUCUACA
This is a long non-coding RNA of Ostrea edulis (European flat oyster), 679 nucleotides long. RefSeq lists it as uncharacterized. The record is from RefSeq and is a predicted model, not a curated record. The transcript is spliced from 2 exons. Lineage: Eukaryota; Metazoa; Mollusca; Bivalvia; Ostreida; Ostreidae.